AGCCUUAUUGAAUAUCUAGACACACUCUGUUGUGAAUGUGCCCAUCUCAGUUUAAGGCAAUAUUAAGAUACAGGUUUUGCUUUCAUCAUGCAAAUUACAAAUUGCACUGGUGACAAUGAGACCUGCCACAUUU
Non-coding RNA from Xenopus laevis (African clawed frog), 133 nucleotides. The record is from Rfam. Lineage: Eukaryota; Metazoa; Chordata; Amphibia; Anura; Pipidae.